RNAcentral lists this long non-coding RNA (1095 nucleotides) under Betta splendens (Siamese fighting fish). RNAcentral describes it as "lncRNA (ENSBSLG00000017972.1)". The record is from RNAcentral. Lineage: Eukaryota; Metazoa; Chordata; Actinopteri; Anabantiformes; Osphronemidae.
AAGACUCACCCUUCUGCUCUCACCCUUCUGCUCUCACCCUUCUUGACUCACCCUUCUGGACUCACCCUUCUGCUCUCACCCUUCUGGACUCACCCUUCUGCUCUCACCGUUCUGCUCUCACCCUUCUUGACUCACCCUUCUGGACUCACCCUUCUGGCCUCACCCUUCUGGACUCACCCUUCUGCUCUCACCCUUCUGCUCUCACCCUUCUUGACUCACCCUUCUGGACUCACCCUUCUUGACUCACCCUUCUGGACUAACCCUUCUGCUCUCACCCUUCUGGCCUCACCCUUCUGGACUCACCCUUCUGCUCUCACCCUUCUGGACUCACCCUUCUGCUCUCACCCUUCUGGACUCACCCUUCUGGACUCACCCUUCUGGACUCACCCUUCUGGACUCACCCUUCUGGACUCACCCUUCUGGCCCUACCCAUCUGCUCUCACCCUUCUGGCCUCACCCUUCGGCUCUCACCCUUCUGCUCUCACCCUUCUGGACUCACCCUUCUGGACUCACCCUUCUGGCCUCACCCUUCUGCUCUCACCCUUCUGGACUCACUCUUCUGGACUCACCCUUCUGCUCUCACCCUUCUGGAUUUACCCUUCUGGACUCACCCUUCUGCUCUCACCCUUCUGGAUUUACCCUUCUGGACUCACCCUUCUGCUCUCACCCUUCUGCUCUCACCCUUCUGGACUCACCCUUCUGGCCUCACCCUUCUGCUCUCACCCUUCUGGACUCACCCUUCUGGACUCACCCUUCUGGCCUCACCCUUCUGCUCUCACCCUUCUGCUCUCACCCUUCUGGCCUCACCCUUCUGCUCUCACCCUUCUGCUCUCACCCUUCUGGACUCACCCUUCUGCUUCACCCUUUCUGCUCUCACCCUUCUGGACUCACCCUUCUGAACUCACCCUUCUGGACUCACCCUUCUGGCCUCACCCUUCUGGACUCACCCUUCUGCUCUCACCCUUCUGCUCUCACCCUUCUGGACUCACCCUUCUGCUCUCACCCUUCUGCUCUCACCCUUCUGGACUCACCCUUCUGGACUCACCCUUCUGGACUCACCCUUCUGCUCUCACCCUUCUGCUCUCACCCUUCUAG